GACGAACGCUGGCGGCGUGCCUAAUACAUGCAAGUCGGGCGGACCGAACGAGGGCUUGCUCUUGUUUGGUCAGCGGCGGACGGGUGAGUAACACGUGGGCAACCUGCCCGCAAGACCGGGAUAACUCCGGGAAACCGGAGCUAAUACCGGAUAACACCGAAGACCGCAUGGUCUUCGGUUGAAAGGCGGCCUUUGGGCUGUCACUUGCGGAUGGGCCCGCGGCGCAUUAGCUAGUUGGUGAGGUAACGGCUCACCAAGGCGACGAUGCGUAGCCGGCCUGAGAGGGUGACCGGCCACACUGGGACUGAGACACGGCCCAGACCCCUACGGGAGGCAGCAGUAGGGAAUCUUCCGCAAUGGGCGAAAGCCUGACGGAGCGACGCCGCGUGAGCGAAGAAGGCCUUCGGGUCGUAAAGCUCUGUUGUGAGGGACGAAGGAGCGCCGUUCGAAGAGGGCGGCGCAGUGACGGUACCUCACGAGAAAGCCCCGGCUAACUACGUG
This 501-nucleotide ribosomal RNA is filed under the name uncultured bacterium. RNAcentral's name for it is "partial 16S ribosomal RNA". It matches the Rfam family "Bacterial small subunit ribosomal RNA", at positions 28 to 507 of the family's 1533-position model. The record is from RNAcentral.